CUCGAGAAAGGGACCGGUGCGCGCCUCCACCUCCCCAAGGGACAAACCGCGGCACCACGCUGCGUGCGCGGGAUUGCGACUAGGAAGUGCUGGUCCGAACUGCGGAGAUUCGCUUGAAAACGGAUAGGGGGUUAGGGAGUUUGCGGGGCGGGUGCACGGACCGUCUCUGCACAGGCCCCGGGAUCCAGGGACUGGGGUCAUUGAUUUGGGGGAAGGUAGAGAAGGUAAACCCCCCGCCUCUGGGUUGUGUUGACUGUGGUACCCGGACCCCAGAGCUCUGGCUUGGUCCUCCCUGUUGGACUGGAAGGGGCGGGAGAGCCAUACAGGGCGAUUGGGAAAUGGAUCGGGUGGCUAGUAAAAGCCAAGUAAGACAGGAGUGUCCAAAGGAAGAAGGGGGUGGGGAGGGAAAUUUGUAGGGAUGAGAUUCACUGCCCUGUUUCAACUCGGCAAUUCUCUGUUACAUGCAGGUUUUACGGAGACUUUCGGUCCCAGCAAAAACUGAUCACCUGGAGUCUUCUACGGUCUCUCUUUAUAAAUCUCUCCGAACCUCAAGCAACUCCCCCCCACCCCCUUCGUCUGGGGUCUGCGCCCAGCGGGGCCAAAGCCUUGAGUUCCUUGGCAGAGAGUGUGGAACAGCCGUGAGCCCUUCAAGACAUGCCUAUGAGCCCGUGAAGGAGAUUCAGCGGGAACAGCUGCAGAAAUACUGAGUCGUGGAGGAACGUUUUAGAGACACUUGAUGUCGGUUGUAUCCAGGCCAGUCGGGGCACUGCAGUAAGUUUACCCAAAAUAGACUGGAGGAGACAGAUUCACCGCUACCCUAACACUUGGC
Pan paniscus (pygmy chimpanzee) is the source of this 829-nucleotide long non-coding RNA. Lineage: Eukaryota; Metazoa; Chordata; Mammalia; Primates; Hominidae. The record is from Ensembl.